Molecule: ribosomal RNA, 483 nt
Filed under: uncultured bacterium
Lineage: Bacteria
Description: partial 16S ribosomal RNA
Rfam family: Bacterial small subunit ribosomal RNA
Source: RNAcentral
UUGAACGCUGGCGGCAUGCCUUACACAUGCAAGUCGAACGGCAGCACGGACUUCGGUCUGGUGGCGAGUGGCGAACGGGUGAGUAAUGUAUCGGAACGUACCUUUCAGUGGGGGAUAACGUAGCGAAAGUUACGCUAAUACCGCAUAUUCUGUGAGCAGGAAAGCAGGGGAUCGAAAGACCUUGCGCUGAUUGAGCGGCCGAUAUCAGAUUAGCUAGUUGGUGGGGUAAAGGCCUACCAAGGCGACGAUCUGUAGCGGGUCUGAGAGGAUGAUCCGCCACACUGGAACUGAGACACGGUCCAGACUCCUACGGGAGGCAGCAGUGGGGAAUUUUGGACAAUGGGGGCAACCCUGAUCCAGCCAUGCCGCGUGAGUGAAGAAGGCCUUCGGGUUGUAAAGCUCUUUCGGCCGGGUAGAAAUCGCAUAGGCUAAUACCCUGUGUGGAUGACGGUACCGGAAUAAGAAGCACCGGCUAACUACGUG